RNAcentral lists this long non-coding RNA (11480 nucleotides) under Xyrichtys novacula (pearly razorfish). Lineage: Eukaryota; Metazoa; Chordata; Actinopteri; Labriformes; Labridae. The record is from RNAcentral.
CGGAAAUCGGGGACGUCUGGUCACCUUAUGCUAAAGGCUAAAAACGGCAGGUAUUAAACCAUAUAUUUUAGACCCCGAGUCCGAAGAGGAGGUGGAAGUUGAGGAAGAAGCCGGAGAUCUCCAGCGGUGUUUUCUAAUUCAUUCUGUCCAGCUUUAAGUUCAUUUUCCUGGCAGUGAACCGAAGGAAACACCGGUCGUUUGGAAGAGACCCAUAGCGGAUACAGUGGUAGCUGGGUCUCGCUCUGGCUGUGACUGAGUACGAGAAUGAGAGAGUGGGCGCGGCUCACCGAGGAUGCGCUCGUGAAUAAUAAUGAGCAAUGUCAACGCAACGUCAGAUGGACCUGCUUUUUCAAUUGGCCUGGUUUACUCGUUCCUUUAUUUAAACCUUUACAGAAUGCAAACAACGUAACGGUUUGUUUUCACAUUUACAACAGAAGACGAACAUAAUAUGGACCUUAUCUGACACCAGGGGCGCCACUAGGUUUUAAGGACAGGGGGGGCUUAGCCCCCAAGAGAUGAACAGGAUGUGAGUGAACGUAGUGAGCGAGCACAAAAUUUCACAGACAGAAAACAAAGACUGAGAAAUUGCUUUUCAGCUUUUUUGGACGGAUUUAACUAAGAUGUAGUCUCAGGCCACCAGGAGUUUUUUUGUUUUAUUUCAGUCUGUUUUUUUUUCAGUUCUUGCAACCACUACUGACCAAACUAUCAUGUUUUAUGUUUUUGCCAAACACUCUACAUGGGAAACAGAAAGCUGUAUUCUGGUUGACUGAAUAUCCUAACCAGUUGUGCUUUUCAAACCAGCUGUAGUGAAAUGCUCGCUUCUGUGUACCAAAACUAUCUUGUGGGUAGCUCUUCAGCUUGACCUGUCUGGGCCCUGUGUCUUUGUCACCUAAAUCAAACCCUGAAGUGGAAUGAGUUGCUGCAGCUGCUUCAUUAUUUUCCCUCUCUUGGCCUGUUUGCUCUCAUCUCUCAGCUUCCUCUGCCAUUUGCUGCAGCUCCUCAGCCUUUCCUUCUGCCUGACCCUCCAAGAUACAUUGAAAUACAUUGAAUUAAUAACUAAUCCAACAUAGAGGCUAAUGUCAUGACUUAAGCUCAAACACCACAGUAAUUUUUUGCUCCCAAAUAGUAAGAUGUUACACAGAUUACAUUUUAAAAUGGUUGCAAAUUAAAGCCCUGAAAAAUAUUACUAAAUUACUUGACUUAAAGUAAUAUUAAAAUAGAAUCCCCAAAAAUAUUUCGGUCAGGCUAAUUUAUCUCUUGGCUCUCUCCACUUUCUAAUCUUGACUCUCUUAAAUAAAAACUCAAAUGAAAUAAGUCUUAUAUGGUGCAUGACUGAAAUUUCAUAUUUCAUAUCCAUAUUGAGUUCCAUAAAAUUCUGAUCAGACUGUCUGCGUCACUCCUGUGAAUUCUUUUAGACUCACCUCUCCAGUAGAGGUGUCUCCCCUCUCACUUGCUGUGCUCCUCUGUCCUGACUCCUACAGGUCAGUGGGGAUGGUGGGGUGAGUAUUAUUAGUGCAUUAUUAUUAUCCACUGAUGAUAAUCAUACGUGAAUGAGCUCAGCUCGCUUUUUUCAGAGAUAAAACAAGUGACAGAAAUCAACAUCAUGCUAACAAUUUAACUUGGUGUGAUAGCCAGGUUUUUAUUUCUCAAAAUGGGGAGCACCUGGUUCAUAAAUUACAUGGGACUAUUUGCUGUUAGCUGGAGCUUAUUGUUACUACCAGCAGCUAUAAAGACUUACUUUUUUGAAAAACUUGUGUAUGUCCAUGAUGCUGCUCUCUGCCUGGCUCGUGACGUGACCAUCUCGCUGUGACUGUGUGCAGGGAGCAUGUAGGUGCUGCUGCUGGCAGCAGUGAAAACGCGGACUGGAUUUUUAGUAAUGUGGGCGUUCUCUAUAUCAACAAGUGGAACGGAUUGAAUAACUAAGCGCUGACGAAGGCUCUCCACCUUACACAGUGAAGUCAGGGGAAACCAAAUGAUUUGUGAUCAUAUUUAAGUGAAUAAUGACAUGUUAUAUUAUUAUUUAUUUAAACUCAUAUUCCUGCGUCUUUGUAUUGAAUUUGUCUGCACUUUUUUGUAAAAUAUAUAUAUAUAUUUAAAAAAAAAAAAAAAAAAAAAAAAUUUGGGGGGGGCUAAAGAAUAUUUUAGGGGGGCUUCAGCCCCCCUUAAAUAGGCCUAACGACGCCAAUGUCUGACACAAAAAAUACAAAAAAUUACAUUUUUUUGGCAGGUCCCUUUUAAAAUUAAGAACAGACUUACCAAGAUCAAGACUGAAUCCAAACUUGAGUUUGGAUAUUAAUGUUAAUUUUAAAAUAAAAUAAACUUAAUCAUAAUUAAUAUGCAACAGCCAUAAAACGUUGGCUGACUGAUCCAGGUAACUUUUUUUUUUGCAACAUUUAACAAACAACAACAACAUAGUCAAUAUUCUAUGGACUGGAAUUCCAGAAAAGCAUUCAUAAUAUUGACUUUUCCAGAAAACAGGAGAAUAUUGUGCAUGGAACAUUUUCAUUAGCGGUCAUUGAUUAUGUGAUUUUUGAAUUCCAUUUCACAAUCCUAUGUAAGACACUUGAGUGGUAUAUACUUUACUGUCAAAUUUAUAUUACAAACUUUAUUACAACAACAAUAAAGUUAUCAAUUCCAGCCAGACCUGUUGUGAGUUGGCAUUUUACCUGCAGAUACAGAUAUACUCUCAGUCUACUUAAAAGUAGAAAAGUUUGAUCCAUGUCAGUGUUGAAUAUGUUUGACCAUGUAGAGAAACAUCUUCAGAAUCUUUUACAAAGCUAGGUUGACAUAAAAACAGCAUUCUGAAAAAAAAAUAAUUUUAAUGAUUACAUUAUAUAAUUACACAAAAUAACAUGCAACUGGGCAAUAUAUUUUACUAUAUUUAACUUACAGGUUGUAUUUUUCCAUUUAUUGAGUAUAAAGUACACACAAUAUUACAGCAACCCUAUUGUUAUGACAAAAAACCAUUGUUUAUUUCUGUGUGAUCAACCUUCUCGUUAUCAAUCACUGCUGGUGCGACUGAACUCUAAGCUGAUGUUGAUGGUCUGAGGGGAAUACUGUCACUGACUGGGGCCAUCUUUCUAUAAUUUUCUUCACUUUAACCUCCCUCUAGUUCUCUGUCUGAUUACUGCAUUGGUGGCCUUUAAGUUAACAAAAUAGAAAUUAUGGUCAUACUUCCUUAUAGACGGGUUUCUUGUGUACAAACAAUACUAGGUGCGCGCACAACCAGGAGGCAAUCGCCUGCUCCGGAAUGAACUGAUAUUAAUGAAUACGCCAUAUUGUUUGCAAGUUCUCCCUGACACAAUUGCAAUAAAAUGUCAUUUCACUGAAAAAUUGCUUUGUCUUUCGUUGCAUCACAAAUCAGAAAAACACUUUCUGAAAUGUCCAUGAAUUUCACUCAACUUACCAGGAUGUGAUGUUGUUUUGGUUGUUUCUAUAUCAGGAGCAGGAUCAGGAUCAUAAUGUAAGUGAAUGCUAACAAAGUCAAGGUAAAAAUGUUUGAAACGAAGCUACUUGACAGCCUGUUAGAAUGAGUUUCUUUAGCCAGUCCUGUCAGCCUUGAGAGUGGUGGAGCUGUGUCACUUAAAUACCUCAGAUACUUCAGUGUUAAGCCGCGUUCAGACCAAACGCGACCUGAAGCGACCUAGUCGCGUUGGUCGUUGUAUUCCCGUCGCGUGUGUUCACACCGGGUCCAAAGCUGCAGUCACGAAGGUCGCAGGAUGCAACUCGCUUCUCCCACCUUCCUUCUUCCUCCUUUUCUCCCUCAUAUAUACAUCCCGCAGCCAGUGGCGGUUCUAGACCAAAUUACUCCCCGGGCGACCCCCCCCCCCCCCCCCCCCUCCACACACACACACACACACACAGACACACAAACACAAAAAGAGAUAGAAUUUUGAACAGAUAGCUUUGUAUUAUUAUGUAUUAUUAUUAUUAUUAUAACAACAAAAAUAAUAUAUUUCUCAAUUGCAGAAAUCCUUCAAUAGAAAAAAACACAAUCCUGAGGGCCAUUUUGAGAAGGGCCCCCAGAUCCUGAGGUUUUCUGAAGUGUUGAGGUUUACAAAAAAGCUGCUAUCUCGGCCUCUGUAGUAGAUAGAAACAAAAUUCAAAAAGUAUUUGAGAGCUUAAACAUGUGGCUUUCAAGAAAGCUCUCUUUUAGUUUUGCGAACCUUCAUCACAUUUUUGAAAACCUUGAACAAACUCAAAUGAAAUAAAGCGGCUGUAUAAAUAAAAGUAAAGACUCUGCACUGGAGAAUGACAAAUAAUUUGCUUUCUGUAAAACAAGUGGCAGUCAUGAUAAAGUGUCCAUUCAAUACAAAUGUAAAUAUAGAAAAUAAGGUGUUGAAAGGGUAAACAGCUGCCCCAGUAUAGUGCCAGUACAAAAGCAGAACUAAAAAUUAAAAAAUGAAUAAAUAAAUACAUGGCUGACAGUGUGUUCAUCUCUGUUCUCACCCAAAGUCAUGCAACACUCACAGAUAACGCUGAUAGUGUGAGCCAAAGCACUCCAUAUGAAGAGGUUGUUCACACUGCUGGAUGUUUCUCCUCUGAAGCUGCUCUCUGCCUCAGUCAUUGUUUACUUUACUCAUGAAGCUCAUCAAGCACGUAGCAAGAUCCCAGCAUGAACCCGAGCGCUUUACUUGCCUAUCAGAGGCAGACGGGUAUGGUGAUUUCAUUCACCGCGACUCCAGAAAUGAUUAAAAAACUACAAAAUGACGUAUCCGCGCUCCCACUGAUAUGCUGACAUGCGUACACAGAGCAGAGCUGUCCCCCCGCGACUCUCUCCCCGCCUCAUCUCACACAGUCUGUCACCCUCUGUGCAGCACCUUCAGAGCAAGCAGGGGCGCCUACAGCAGGGGGGGGGGGGGGGGGCGUGAGGAGAAAGAGGAGGAGGGUCGUGUGGUCUCCAAGCAGAGGAGACCUCGGAUCUCUGAUUAUUUGAUCUAACUUAUACUUUUGGCUGGUAAAAGAGUCAGAUCUGAUACUCACUCACUAUGAUUAAUAUCAUUGAAUGCUUGGUUUCAUGAUAAAUAAUUUGAUACUAAACACAUAUGAAUGAAAUGUAGGAUCACAUCAAACAUUCUCAUUAUGUUUUAAGUAUCACAUUGAACAUGCUAAAUUACUCUGAAAUGCAACAGAUAGUAACACAUAGAAACUGUGAACAACAAAAGAGUAAAUACAUGUGACUGAACGUCAUCAUGAUUAAUAAUGGAUUCUAAAUACUUACAUUCAGAUUAUUCACUGAUAUUAUAACCACCUAAUGGUUAAAAUACUAAAUAUACCAAAAUAUAAACCAAAACAUUUCUAAACCAUUUCUGUUACUUAGAAUAAAGUUAUGAGUCACAGUCUAUAAAUUUAACUCUUAAAGUUCAUGAAACAGUCUGAAAAGCUGUUGGUCUAAAGAAACCAAAGAAUGUUCACACACUUUAAGACGGUAAAUCUCAAAUGGGAGAUCUGGGUUGAGGCGUUAUUGUUUAUUUAGAUGGUCAGCGAUGGAGUCAGUUCGAAAGGUAAUAAAAACUCUAUCUCCGUCUCCGAAUUGACCAAUCGUGAAGAGUCAGAGGUUUAGUCAACCUCCGGUCGGGUCACUUAGGUAACCUGAAAGUGCAAAAAAGUCUGGAAAGAUUUAUAUCCUGUGUCCUGGGACCAGAAAAGGAAACUUUCCUGUGAGGAAUGUGUGAGUUUCGCACCCAGGGUUGUCUUGAUUGCUACACGAUAUUAAUCAAUAUUAGAGUGGGCCUACUUGCAGUAGAGGGACAGUGUGAAUAUAGGUGUCCAGAGAGACAAGAAACAGAUAAUGAAGUCCUUGGAGGACGUGUCGAUAAAUAUUGAAGUAAUAGGUGCUACUGUCUGGUUGUCUGACAGACUGACAGCUUGACGGCCCAGAUUCAGACUUCAGCAGUACGGUACCUCUGGGUUUUGUAAAAGAUGUCAUUGGAUGACGAGAUUGUGUUACUGGUUUUUACAUGAAGACGUCAUUGGAUGACGCGGUUGUGUUAUAGUUGUUACUGUUUAAUAGUCUGAUGGACUGACCGCACGACGGCCCCGAUUCAGUCAUUAACAGGUAUUUCUGUCUCUGUUUGAACGGACUGACUGCUUGACGGCCCCGAUUCCUUCAGUGGCAGUUGUAGUGUGAUUAUGUAUAGGGAAAUCUACAUACUGCAUAAUAUCGACCCAUACCAGCCUCAAUUGUUCAGGAUGUAUUUUUUUAAAGAUGGAAUUGGACUUAAAAUACAGAUGGAUGAAACACACAAAAUUUUUGAUGCUUUGCAUACUCACAAAUAGCCAUAGAGUUACUAGUCGUAAGUAAUAAUCCGUGCACUGAUGUCACAAACCAGUAAAUUCAGAAAACCAUGUGGUACAAAAAACUAAAAAUAAAAAAAAAUAGCUAAAUAAAUAAAUACAAAGAAAAAUCAAAGAUCUACCAAGAAAAGAAUGAAAAGUGAUAAAUGUAAUGCUUGAAACUGUUCCACAGUUAGACAUUUUUCCAACCAUGUCUGUAGUUUAAAUGUCAGCCAGGGAGUGGGUGCAAGUGAAGCUGGGGUUCUAUUACGAUGAACCAAAAAAUCAAAUCAGAAUGAUAAGAAAGUCUUAAAAAAAAUGAACACAGAAGGAAAUUAGAUAUUGUACGAGAGUAUCUAAUGAAUAACACAGCCAUCGAUAGUUUUCUAUGGAAUCGAGACUACAUGACAAAGGUGUAGAUUUAGAUGGCUUAUCAGUUUCCUGGGAAUCUUAGUAAGUUUAAGAAAGAAAAAAAAUUGGUAACACUUUACAUUAAGGUCCUCGUAAUAAGCAUUAGUUAAUAGGUAAUAAGGCCCUUAUAAGUGUGUACAAGAUGCUUAUUAACAUUAUUAUUUGUUUAUAAGACGAUAUAUCUAUUAAUAGUCUCAUUAUAAUACAGUUAUUAGCAGACUUUAAGAGAUUUAUAAUAACUUAUAAGAAACUUGUUAACUGUUUGUUGAUGCUUACGAACAUUAAUAAAAUCCUCAUGAGUAUCUUAUAACUGUUUAUAAUAACAUUAUAAACACAUAUAUUGACCCAACUAGCCCAACCAUGAUGGCUUUAUCAUGCCUUUAUUAAUCUUUUUGUUUGAUUUAUUAACAUUAAUAUACACUUUAUUGCUCAUCUACUGUAAGUUAACUAUGCACUUGUUUACAGUUAACUGUGCUUUUUGCAGGUACUGGAUCUAAAGUGAGAACAAUGUCUUAUAAAGGCUGAUAAAUCUUUUAUUGAGCAUUAUUAUGCCUUUAAGAAUAUUUUUUCCUGCUUUAUCAAAAUAAAAUGUACUUUACUAUGCCCUUGUUAUCAGUUAACUAUGCACUUAUUAACAGUUAACUAUGCUUUUUGCAGCUACCAGAUCUAAAGCGAGAACAAUGCCUUUUGUUUGUAUUAUCCGCGGGGCUGAAGAUGUUGUUCCCUUCAUUUUGCACGCGGCACCAAAACGACGUGCACAUUGAUCGUGUGGCUGAGCCGCUAAACAAAAACUGCUAAACAAAAUCAGAAAACUUAUUUUUGAAGGUAAAGUGUAAAGUUUUUCUGGUUGAAAACUUUAAACUUGAAGGUAAAGUUUAAAGUUUUUCUGGUUGAACUACCUUCAAAAAUAAGUUUUCUGAUUUUGUUUAGCAGUGUCAUCUUGGUAAAGUCACUUCUUUUUUCUCCUCUUCUGUUGCUUUUCGCGGGUUGCGUCUUUUUUCGCUUCUUUUCAGCCUGCAUCCGUAGCUGUUCUCUUCUUUGUGCGUUUCUCACAUGCUUUUAUUUUGAAAGAGCAGGUAAAACCGACACUUCCGGUUUAAGCUAGCGGCUCAGCCACACGAUCAAUGUGCAUGUCGUUUUGGUGCCGCGUGCAAAAUGAAGAGAACAACAUCUUCGGCCCCGCGGAUAAUACAAACCCGCUCCGGAUCUCGAAAAGAUCAUGAUGACAAGAGGAGCCGUUGUGAUAUGGAGGAUGACUCCUCUGGUAAGUUUAACUGCAGCUGCACAAACAAGCUUUGCUGUCCUGGAAACUGAUCUACAAACAUAAUUUCUCACCAACCAGCUAUUAUAUUUGGAACAAUGAAGACAUUGUUUACAAAAACCGAUCACUGUUUUACAAGGACUGGAUGGAGCACAACAUUUUACUAGUCGACCAACUUCUUAACAACCAUGGCUUUUUACUUUCUUAUGAAGAAUUUAUGUUAAAAUUUCAACUCCCAGUCACCCCAAAACAAUAUGCAGUGGUUUUUGAUGCAUUACCUCAGGGGGUGCUGCAACUUAUUAAAGGGUCUGAAAGAACGGCUGCUACUCCAGGAAAUUACACCUGUGAUAUAUUUGUGGGCGGAAUAGACAUUACAAAAAGACCCUGCUUGAAUAGACUGUUGAGAAGCUGCCUACAACCAAAGACACUGCCUAGAGGUCAAACUAACUGGUCUGCACAAUUGGGAGAAAUUAACUGGAGCAAUGCAUGGCUGGUUGGUGAAAAAUUCUGUCUCAAAAACAAGGUCAAAGAAGUCUCUUUUAAAAUAUUACAUCAGAUUUACCCUGCAAAGAAAACUCUUGAAAGAUUCAAACUGGACAUUGAAUAUUUAUGUGAUUUCUGUGGACUUGAAGAUGAAACCAUCUCUCAUUGAUUCUAUCAUUGUACCUACAGUAAAACCUUUUGGAUUGAUGUCCAACAAUUUGUGCACGAGAAAACAGGAAGAACGAUCAGUUUCCAGGAAAAACAUAAUUUUAUUUAUUAUGAUGACCAGGACAAAGAUCUGUGCUUUUUUUGUCAGUUGAUCUUGAGCUUGGGGAAAUUCCAUAUUCACAAAAACAAAUGGGCCAAAUCUAAGCCAAACAUUGCACCCUUCAAAAAUGAACUGCUCCGUUAUGCUGCCACGAUCAAGGAUAUUAAGAACAAGAAAGCUACCAAAACAUACUCUAUAAUGAAGAAAUUCUUUACCAUUGAACUGUAAGUCCUCUGGCUGUUGUAUGGUUGUGUUUUGUUUUCUGUUUUUGUCGUUAUUGUUGUGAUGUGUCUCUCGUUGAUUGUACUGUCUGUCUUGUUCAAUAAAAAAAAAAAAAAAAGAGGAGCCGUUGUGAUAUGGAGGAUGACUCCUCUGGUAAGUUUAACUGCAGCUAACGAGUUAGUGCACAUUCAAAACAGAGUUUUAAUGUAACCAAAUAGGAAAAUAGGUUGUUUAUAUGAGUUUGAUUAUUUUCAAUUGGACAGGCACUUCAUCCCUCACUAAUACACAGAGGAGUAACCAGCUCAAGACUGCUGCUGCACCCCUGUCAGGCUGCAACAGUAAUGCUCCAUAAAAUUACGAGCUUUGGCUAGCUAGCUAUGUAGCUAGCUGCGUGUUUGAAUGUGCACUAACCAGUUAGCUGCAGUUAAACUUACCAGAGGAGUCAUCCUCCAUAUAAUAGAAGAUUUAUGAGACUUAAUAAGGCAUUGUUCUCGCUUUAGAUCUGGUAGCUGCAAAAAGCAUAGUUAACUGUUAAUAAGUGCAUAGUUAACUGAUAACAAGGGCAUAGUAAAGUACAUUUUAUUUUGAUAAAGCAGGAAAAAAUAUUCUUAAAGGCAUAAUAAUGCUCAAUAAAAGAUUUAUCAGCCUUAAUAAGACAUUGUUCUCACUUUAGAUCCAGUACCUGCAAAAAGCACAGUUAACUGUAAACAAGUACAUAGUUAACUUACAGUAGAUGAGCAAUAAAGUGUAUAUUAAUUUUAAUAAAUCAAACAAAAAGAUUAAUAUAGGCAUGAUAAAGCCAUCAUGGUUGGGCUAGUUGAGUCAAUAUAUGUGUUUAUAAUGUUAUUAUAAACAGUUAUAAGAUACUCAUGAGGAUUUUAUUAAUGUUCGUAAGCAUCAACAAACAGUUAACAAGUUUCUUAUAAGUUAUUAUAAAUCUCUUAAAGUCUGCUAAUAACUAUUAUAAUGAGACUAUUAAUAGAUAUAUCGUCUUAUAAACAAAUAAUAAUGUUAAUAAGCAUCUUGUACGCACUUAUAAGGGCCUUAUUACCAUUAACUAAUGCUUAUUACAAGGACCUUAAUAUAAAGUGUUACCAAAAAUUUUUUUCUCUAGGACUCAAGAAACUGUUCAAGUAAAAUAUGAAGAAGCAAGCUUAUUGUUACACCCUCUUGCAGCUCCCAGGUUCAUUGUCUCCAAAUGUAAACCUACCUAGUGCGUCUGUGAAGUAUGGAAGUGAUGAUGAUGACAGUUCACUAUUUUUUACACAUGUUGAAUUACGAUAAACAGCCCUGCCCAAUGCCAACAAAAGUAGUCCCCUUGUUAUUCUCAGAUGUUGGGAGUGCCAAAUCUUUCAACAAACAUCCUUUAAGAUAAAUGUAUUCAUCAAUGUAUCCAGAAUUGUAAUAUAACUUUUGACUUAACAGAGAGUGUAUGUCUGACACAGAUCAAACCCUUGUGACAGAGUUGGGACUGUAAAAGGAUACCUGGCAUGCACAUUCAAGAGCAUACACUGACAGAUGCCUUCGCUGUCAUAGGACAGCGUUCUGUGGGAAGGAGCAAGAGUCCUCAAAAAGUAAUGUGAACCAAGUACAACUUCACUUAAUGCCACAAAUAACCUCUGAUCUCUUUUUGCAGAAUGAUUCUUAGAGGAUGGGGUAUGGUGCCAAUCAAGGAACCCAGGGUAUUCAGCAGGAGGAACACGAUCCUGAACAAUUUGAAUUGUACAUUUGAGUAGUUUUUCUGUUUAAUCUGUUAGUAUUCUAAAUCCCCAACGAUACUUGUUCAGAUGAUAGUCUCAUGUUUGUGAGCAAUGAUAGCUGUGGCGAUUACAUCUAAAUAGGCACAGACUAUAGUGUUAAGAUAUCCACUAAUACAGCACGCUACACACACAGUGAAUGUUGAUCGGCUCAACAUAAUCACACAGCACAUAUCAGUCUGAGGUGUAGAAGCUACAAACGCAUGUUAAAUGAAACACCAAAACUUCCCAUUUCAACAGCCACUCAUAUUUAUCUAGUGGUACACUUGAACUCAUUACUGCAUGGCAAUAAAGGGAUGGCUGAAGUUCCGUCUUUAGAUUGCUUGAAUGUAAUCAAUUCAACAUUCAGAGUAAGAGUAAAGAUGCAACAGACUCCACUGGAGAACAAUGAAUUGUCCUCUACUGUGAUGGUUCUGCGAUUGGACCUGAUGAUGGCACUACAAUGGCAGGUUAUGUGCUUGUUGAUAAUCACAAUCAAGAUGUUGUAUCCUACACGCCAUCGUAAAAUGUAACAAAACAUUUACAAUCUGACAAAGAAGUGACCAGAGACAACGAUAAUUAGCAGAUAAUAUGCCCCCCCCCCAAAAAAAAAAAAAAAAAACGGCGCUUGAUGCACCAUUUCCUUCUUGAUUGGUUCCUAAUUCCCAUCCAUACAACCUUCUGUUCCUCCGUUUUACGUUGAUGACUUAAUUUUGCUUCAAAGCCAUGCCCCUGAGUCUAAAGUGAACAUAUAGCAGAAAAAGAACUGUAACAGGGUUGCUAAUGGAUUAUAAAAAUAUAGUGGGCAACAGAUUAUGCUCCC